UACGUAGGGGGCUAGCGUUGUCCGGAAUCAUUGGGCGUAAAGAGCGUGUAGGCGGCUUUGCAAGUCCGUUGUGAAAACUCGAGGCUCAACCUCGAGACGCCGGUGGAAACUGCAAAGCUAGAGUCCGGAAGAGGAGAGUGGAAUUCCUGGUGUAGCGGUGAAAUGCGCAGAUAUCAGGAAGAACACCCGUGGCGAAGGCGGCUCUCUGGGACGGUACUGACGCUGAGACGCGAAAGCGUGGGGAGCGAACAGG
This 253-nucleotide ribosomal RNA is filed under the name uncultured bacterium. RNAcentral describes it as "partial 16S ribosomal RNA". It matches the Rfam family "Bacterial small subunit ribosomal RNA", at positions 524 to 776 of the family's 1533-position model. The record is from RNAcentral.